GCCCCGAUGGUGGAAUCGGUAGACACAAGAGAUUUAAAAUCUCUCGCUUUAGGGCGUCCCAGUUCAAGUCUGGGUCGGGGCACCA
Molecule: transfer RNA, 85 nt
Filed under: Vibrio alginolyticus
Lineage: Bacteria; Pseudomonadati; Pseudomonadota; Gammaproteobacteria; Vibrionales; Vibrionaceae
Also listed under: 6 other names
Description: tRNA-Leu
Source: RNAcentral